This 750-nucleotide ribosomal RNA is filed under the name uncultured bacterium. RNAcentral's name for it is "bacterial SSU rRNA". It matches the Rfam family "Bacterial small subunit ribosomal RNA", at positions 41 to 796 of the family's 1533-position model. The record is from RNAcentral.
GGGGAGGCUUACAUGCAGUCGAGCGAGCACUCGGCCUUGUAUCUUCGGAGGAAAGGCGGUUUGACUGAGCGGCGGACGGGUGAGUAACGCGUGGGCAACCUGCCCCAUACGGGGGAUAACAGUUAGAAAUGACUGCUAAUACCGCAUAAGACCGCGGUGCCGCAUGGCACAGCGGUAAAAACUCCGGUGGUAUGGGAUGGGCCCGCGUCUGAUUAGCUAGUUGGCGGGGUAACGGCCCACCAAGGCGACGAUCAGUAGCCGACCUGAGAGGGCGACCGGCCACAUUGGGACUGAGACACGGCCCAAACUCCUACGGGAGGCAGCAGUGGGGAAUAUUGCACAAUGGGGGAAACCCUGAUGCAGCGACGCCGCGUGAGCGAUGAAGUAUUUCGGUAUGUAAAGCUCUAUCAGCAGGGAAGAAGAUGACGGUACCUGACUAAGAAGCCCCGGCUAACUACGUGCCAGCAGCCGCGGUAAUACGUAGGGGGCAAGCGUUAUCCGGAUUUACUGGGUGUAAAGGGAGCGUAGACGGCGAUGCAAGCCAGAUGUGAAAGCCCGGGGCUCAACCCCGGGACUGCAUUUGGAACUGUGUGGCUGGAGCGUCGGAGAGGCAGGCGGAAUUCCUAGUGUAGCGGUGAAAUGCGUAGAUAUUAGGAGGAACACCAGUGGCGAAGGCGGCCUGCUGGACGAUGACUGACGUUGAGGCUCGAAAGCGUGGGGAGCAAACAGGAUUAGAUACCCUGGUAGUCC